CCUACGGGGGGCAGCAGUGGGGAAUAUUGGACAAUGGGCGAAAGCCUGAUCCAGCCAUGCCGCGUGUGUGAAGAAGGCCUUCGGGUUGUAAAGCACUUUCAGUGGGGAAGAAAGCCUUGGGGCUAAUACCCUCGAGGAAGGACAUCACCCACAGAAGAAGCACCGGCUAACUCCGUGCCAGCAGCCGCGGUAAUACGGAGGGUGCGAGCGUUAAUCGGAAUUACUGGGCGUAAAGCGCGCGUAGGCGGUCUGAUAAGCCGGUUGUGAAAGCCCCGGGCUCAACCUGGGAACGGCAUCCGGAACUGUCAGGCUAGAGUGCAGGAGAGGAAGGUAGAAUUCCCGGUGUAGCGGUGAAAUGCGUAGAGAUCGGGAGGAAUACCAGUGGCGAAGGCGGCCUUCUGGACUGACACUGACGCUGAGGUGCGAAAGCGUGGGUAGCAAACAGGAUUAGAUACCGGGUAGUC
Molecule: ribosomal RNA, 464 nt
Filed under: Vreelandella stevensii
Lineage: Bacteria; Pseudomonadati; Pseudomonadota; Gammaproteobacteria; Oceanospirillales; Halomonadaceae
Description: partial 16S ribosomal RNA
Rfam family: Bacterial small subunit ribosomal RNA
Source: RNAcentral